GACGAACCGUGCGAACGUUGUUCGGAAUCACUGGGCUUAAAGGGCGCGUAGGCGGCAGAUCAAGUCCGGGGUGAGAUCCUCCAGCUCAACUGGAGAAGUGCCUUGGAUACUGAUUUGCUCGAGGGAGGUAGGGGUCGAGGGAACUUCUGGUGGAGCGGUGAAAUGCGUUGAUAUCAGAAGGAACGCCGGUGGCGAAAGCGCUCGACUGGAUCUCUUCUGACGCUGAGGCGCGAAAGCUAGGGGAGCAAAC
Molecule: ribosomal RNA, 250 nt
Filed under: uncultured bacterium
Lineage: Bacteria
Description: partial 16S ribosomal RNA
Rfam family: Bacterial small subunit ribosomal RNA
Source: RNAcentral